This is a long non-coding RNA of Budorcas taxicolor (takin), 319 nucleotides long. RefSeq lists it as uncharacterized. The transcript is spliced from 3 exons. The record is from RefSeq and is a predicted model, not a curated record. NCBI's taxonomy places the organism in Eukaryota, Metazoa, Chordata, Mammalia, Artiodactyla, Bovidae.
GCGGUCGGAUUCUGGCCGAAGUGGCUCGGUUACCUGGGAGAGCUGCAGGAGUGUACAGAGAGGUACUGUGCCAGCGCCCUGGACCGGAGAUCUACACAGUCUAAACAUUAAACAGAACAGUCGCCUCAAAUCCCUGAGAGACUUCCCUGGUGGCUCAGAGGGUAAAAGCAUCUGCCUACAAUGCGGGAGACCCGGGUUCGAUUCCCUGGAGAAGGAAAUGGCAACCCACUCCAGUAUUCUUACCUGGAAAAUCCCAUGGACCGAGGAGCCUGGCAGGCUACGGUCCAUGGGGUCGCAAAGAGUGGACACGACUGAGCAA